Molecule: ribosomal RNA, 433 nt
Filed under: uncultured bacterium
Lineage: Bacteria
Description: partial 16S ribosomal RNA
Rfam family: Bacterial small subunit ribosomal RNA
Source: RNAcentral
AGCGAACGCUGGCGGCAGGCUUAACACAUGCAAGUCGAGCGGGCACUUCGGUGUCAUCGUCAGACGAGUGAGUAACACGUGGGAACGUACCCUUCGGUUCGGAAUAACGCUGGGAAACUAGCGCUAAUACCGGAUACGCGCUAUUGGGGAAAGGUUUACUGCCGAAGGAUCGGCCCGCGUCUGAUUAGCUAGUUGGGUGGGUAAUGGCCUACUAAGGCGACGAUCAGUAGCUGGGCUGUGAGGAUGAUCAGCCACUCUGGGACUGGGACACGGCCCGGAAUCCUACGGGAGGGAGCAGUGGGGAAUAUUGGACAAUGGGCGCAAGGCUGAUCCAGCCAUGACGGGUGAGUGAUGAAGGCCUUAGGGUUGUAAAGCCCUUUUGACCGGGACGAUAAUGACGGUACCGGAAGAAUAAGCCACGGCUAACUUCGUG